This 1881-nucleotide long non-coding RNA is filed under the name Macaca fascicularis (crab-eating macaque). RNAcentral's name for it is "lncRNA (ENSMFAG00000059293.1)". Lineage: Eukaryota; Metazoa; Chordata; Mammalia; Primates; Cercopithecidae. The record is from RNAcentral.
CUAUUUUACUAGAGCUUAAUUUUACCUACAGGGAGGCAUGUCAUAAAAUUAUGUGCCAUUUAGCUUUCCAAUCUCAUAAAUUAUAAAAAUAGAUAUAUCAUGCCAAUAUUAAUAAGAAGAAAGCUUGAAAAGCUAUAUUAUUUUCAGAAAAAAACAGACUUUAUAAAACAACAAAUCAUAAGGGACAAAAGGAGCAUUGCAUAAUUAUUAAUAGGUAAAUUCUUCAAGAAGACAUAACCAUCAUUAUUGCGUACCUACUUAAUAAUAGAGCAUCAAGAUAUGUAAAGCAAAACCUGAUGGAACUUCAAGGAAAAAUAGACAAAUCUAUGACUAUAUUUGCAGGCUUGUUACUCUAUCAGUAACUGACAAAUUCAGCAGGCAGAAAAUGUAUGAAAAUAGGUAAAGUGAACAGCAGGAGCAGUCAACUGAAUCUAAUUGACAUUUAUAAAAUACUUUAUCCAAAAUAGCAGAACACAUUCUUUGCAACAUGAGACAUUCACUAAGAUAGACCAAAUUCUGGGCCAUGUAACACACUCAAACAAAUUUAAAUAAUAAAAACCAUACAAAGUAUGCUCACAGACAAUUCAGGACAAUUUUCUAGGUGGCCCGAGUCUGACCUAGUUCUAUCUUUUCCUCUUCUUAUUUGCAGUUCUCAAGAAUAACUGUGGAAUAAUGCUGACGAUGCAACAUCCUGAGAUGAGAAAGAACUAGCCAGAACAGCCCAAGCUGUGUUCCUUUAGAAACAACAUAUCCUUCAGUGUUUUAGCCCAGGGUGUCCAAUGCCCUCCAGGUUAUAAAACCCAGGAUACACUGCUUUCUAGUUGCCUUCAGUUGUAGCGCAGGUGAAGCAUGUGCAGACACAAUUCCACCUGCCCUAAGCAGCUUCCUGAAACUUGAGGGAAUGGCUUCUCUUGAAUGCUAGACUUCUGUUGUUUCUUAUUUUCUAUGUGUAAAUAAUAAACUCAUGUUGUACAACUUCUGUCUUACUGGACUUGGGCAAGUAGUAAAAGUGCAAUUCAAGAUGCAGUGGGUUACAACAGUAACCAGUGCACAGUGAAUCUACCUAACAGAUCGCAAUGCAAUUAAACCAGAACUCAGCCAUAGAAAGAUAGCAGGAAAACCUCAUGAUGCUGAGUUAACACAUUUCUAAAUAACACAUGGAUCACAGAAGUCUCAUGAAAAAAUUAAAAACAAUAUUUUGGCCCAUAUCUACUACUCUGUCUCACCAGUUUCAGGAGCUCCCAGAUGGCUCCAUCACAUCCUCUGUCAUCCUAUGUCUUACAGGUGUACUGGGAUAUCUGUAGGAAGGAUGCUUGGUUACUCUGGAAUCCAGGGAAUGUUUUGCCUCCUUUGAAACUUAAAAAUGAGUAUUGGGAAAUGAGGGCAAAGGUAGCUGACUAGAUCCAGCCAGGAAGUUCUACUUCCACUGAAAGAUAACAGAAUAUUGAAUACACCAACAUACUUUAAGCAGAUCUCUGGAGAUAAAACACCAAGUGUCAAUAGUGAGGCAGCACAGAAAUUGAGACUGAAGAGAGAGGAAGCUGGCACUCCUGCACAUAUAUGCCAAAUGCUAGGAAUAGUUCCUGGUCCUGAACGGCUCUGAGGGAAGGGAGCAUGGCUGUGAACGUGGGGAAAUACAAAAAAAGGGUGCAUGGCUUGGUAAGUGCCUACAUGCCAGUCAUUACUCUUAAUAAGCAUCUACUGAAUUAAAGUCCAAACAAAUAUAUAUCCCUAUGAAACCAAGGGCAAGAGAUUAGUCACAAAUAAAGAUCCUGUACAUAGCCUUGGCCAUCUGAAAGCAUCUAAAAUGAAGCCAAUUGACUAUAUUCAAUUUACACUACCUCUAAAGACAAGCCCUCUCAGAUGAGAAAAAAAAAAAAA